GCGGGCGCGCCGAAGUUGGAGAGUCGGGACCGGCUGUAAACCGGUUGCCUCAGCGCUGAGCAGGUUCGAAUCCUGCCGCCCGCAC
Molecule: transfer RNA, 85 nt
Filed under: Actinoplanes derwentensis
Lineage: Bacteria; Bacillati; Actinomycetota; Actinomycetes; Micromonosporales; Micromonosporaceae
Description: tRNA-Tyr
Rfam family: tRNA
About the family: Transfer RNA (tRNA) molecules are approximately 80 nucleotides in length. Their secondary structure includes four short double-helical elements and three loops (D, anti-codon, and T loops).
Source: RNAcentral